AAUGAACGCUGGCGGCAGGCCCAACACGUGCAAGUCGAACGGAUCCUUCGGGAUUAGUGGCGGACGGGUGAGUAACGCGUGGGAACAUACCCUUUGGUACGGAAUAGCCUCGGGAAACUGGGAGUAAUACCGUAUGUGGUCGAGAGACGAAAGAUUUAUCGCCAAAGGAUUGGCCCGCGUUGGAUUAGGUAGUUGGUGGGGUAAUGGCCUACCAAGCCGACGAUCCAUAGCUGGUUUGAGAGGAUGAUCAGCCACACUGGGACUGAGACACGGCCCAGACUCCUACGGGAGGCAGCAGUGGGGAAUUUUAGACAAUGGGGGAAACCCUGAUCUAGCCAUGCCGCGUGAUCGAUGAAGGCCUUAGGGUUGUAAAGAUCUUUCAGGUGGGAAGAUAAUGACUGUACCACCAGAAGAAGCCCCGGCUAACUCCGUGCCAGCCGCCGCCGUAA
This 449-nucleotide ribosomal RNA is filed under the name uncultured bacterium. RNAcentral's name for it is "partial 16S ribosomal RNA". It matches the Rfam family "Bacterial small subunit ribosomal RNA", at positions 29 to 523 of the family's 1533-position model. The record is from RNAcentral.